Molecule: long non-coding RNA, 2327 nt
Organism: Cydia pomonella (codling moth)
Lineage: Eukaryota; Metazoa; Arthropoda; Insecta; Lepidoptera; Tortricidae
Exons: 3
Source: RefSeq, a predicted model, not a curated record
AGUUACAUGGUGAUUCUCGUGGAGAUACAAGAUGGCGAAGACGUCUCGAGAAUAUUUUUUUGUGUUUUGCUCAUUAAUGUUGUUUAAAGUGUAAUAUUGAUAGCUUAUUAUUCAGUGAACUAUAAUGGAAGUGUGCAACUAAUGCAAAACGAAUCUUGAUACGCGUUUAACCUUUGCGCCGCCAUUGACUUGAUAUAAAGUCAGUAAAUUUCGUGCCCUACACGCCACGUCUUCAUAUCUAGUCGUGGUUUUGGUCAGAUCUGCAUGCGUGCAAUUUUUGACGUGGCGUUGGUGACACUUUAUUACUACAUUGACGUGGCGGCGAAAAGGUUAACUAUGUUUUAAUCAACACCCGGCUUCCAAGUCGAACUAUAUUUUUACUAAAAGCAACUACCGAACAACGUCAUGCUCUACGAGCACACAUAAAAGUUACUACUGAACAACGACACUUGACAUUGGCAAAAUCAUCAUAGAUCUGAUGGCGGCCAUAUUGUAGAAGAAAAAGUUAGAAGGUUCAGAUUUGCGCUUGAUAAGCAGCAUUAUCUAGUCUUUUAUUAUGGCGUCGCGUUGAGUUUCCUUGAAUAAGGAUGACUCAUGUUACAGUCUGCAGUAUUCAUUUAUAAAUAAACCAAUUAAAAGUAAUGUAUGCAUACGAUACUGACCGUUUGAAUGUUAAACAACAUAAUCAAUAUAAAGAACAGGUCGCCAAUUAGUAAAAGGAGUCGAACUGUGCCAGUCUCUUGGGCCUGUAAAACAGAUACUAAUUGCUGUAGUAAUUGUGGUCCCAGAUGUGCCAAUAGUCACGUCAGCAAUAAGAGUACCUUACUGAAGACAGCCGCCCAAACCGUCACAAUUCUCGUUAGAGUCGCGGUGAUAACAAUGCCUCGACAAUGCCAGGGAGGAUCACCGUCAUCACAAAGAAUGAAAUAAACAUCAAAUACAAAGGUGCAACAUCAACAAAGACGAGAGCCAAGAAAGUAACAGCACUAGUAGUGGAAAAUAAAGAGACAAUAAGGUCGAUGGCAAUAGUUAGGGAAUCAAAAUACCUCUAUGACUAUAGUGGCUCUGUGAGCUGUAGACCUCGCUUAGCUUAGAAAAUGUGAAAGUGAAAAAUACUUAGUUCGUUGAGUUAUUUUCACAGUCACCUCACAAUAGUCUUAAGCGUCAUAAAUGCUAUUGGCGCUUAAGUCCUUUAUGCUAAUUUCGCAUAUUGAAAAUUUCCCAAAAACGGAAUUGACACAAAACUAUUUCAUCAUAGAAUCUGGUCACAAAAUUUCACGAGAAUCGGUUAAGCAUUAGAUGAGAACAUCCGGACAUAUGAAAGCAAAAUGUGCGAGUUAAAAUGGAGACCUUCGCUAAUGCUACGGUCAAUAAUCGCAAUGUGGAACACCAUAGUAAUAACAAUGAUAGCAUUUUAUGGUCUAACGAAAGUAAAAUGCCACACCGUGGUCAAAGGAAUGAUUGUAGUAAUAUGAAUGAUGGUUACGUUAAUUACAAAAGUAGUACUGACGAAUUUAAUAAUAAAUAUUACCGGAAUAAAAUGACCACUGUGGCUCCAACUAGAAAAAUAAUGUUCUUUUCGAAAUUUGGACUAUUUUCCAGUCCCCAAAGCAGAAGGAAGAAAUACAAAAUAAAAUUGUGUUUAUAAAUGAAAACCUAACUCUUUUUACCCUCUUUGGGUAAGACGUGUGUAUGUGUACAGUCUUAAUAAUGAGGGAAUUAAAGUAAGUACGAGUGUCGAUAAACAAAACAAAACGGAUAGUGGGCCGUUGGUGAUCUAGGUAUUUUUAUUUUUUUAUAAAGUAUUCUGAGCUACGUUUGCAGAAAAUGGUUCAGUUUAAAUGUCACCCGCCAUGAAUCCAUGAGUGUAUAGAAGCUAAUAAAAAAAUAUACAAUAAAAUUAUCUUGAGAAUAGAAUUAUCAUGUGUCACAAAUCAAACAAAAGGUUGCCUUUUGUUCUGUCAUAUCAUCGCCCAAAUUUGACAUUGAGCUCGACCCUGCCAUGGCUAUAGUUAUAAUACUAUACGUCCGGCAAAAUUAGGCCAAAUAGCAACAUAAAAGAGAAAACAAUUGGCAUACACGAGUAGUUGAAAAAAUGGCCAACGCGGGAACGUGUAUUGCUGCUGUGUUCCUAGUUAUUAUUGUAGCCGUUCAAAGUGCAAGGUUGCGGCGUAGCGAAUAUUUAUUCGACAGCCUUGAAGACGCAAGCAUCGCCGGGGACCACAUUGUAGCCGUUGGUGCUGACUGCAGUGAUGAUGACAGCAGUGAAAGCCUGGAGUUAGGCUACGUCAUCAUCAACAAGCGAGAAGCGCCCGCAGGACCGCGCG